This 253-nucleotide ribosomal RNA is filed under the name uncultured bacterium. RNAcentral describes it as "partial 16S ribosomal RNA". It matches the Rfam family "Bacterial small subunit ribosomal RNA", at positions 524 to 776 of the family's 1533-position model. The record is from RNAcentral.
UACGGAGGAUCCAAGCGUUAUCCGGAAUCAUUGGGCUUAAGGGGUCCGUAGGCGGUUUGGUAAGUCAGUGGUGAAAGCCCAUCGCUCAACGGUGGAACGGCCAUUGAUACUGCCAGACUUGAAUUAUUAGGAAGUAACUAGAAUAUGUAGUGUAGCGGUGAAAUGCUUAGAGAUUACAUGGAAUACCAAUUGCGAAGGCAGGUUACUACUAAUGGAUUGACGCUGAUGGACGAAAGCGUGGGUAGCGAACAGG